AAUCAACGCUGGCGGCGUGCCUCAGACAUGCAAGUCGAACGAUUAAACUUUCCUUCGGGGAGAGAUAUAGAGUGGCGUACGGGUGAGUAACACGUAGGUAAUUUACCUCUGGGUGGGGAAUAACCAUCGGAAACGAUGGCUAAUACCGCAUAAUGCAGCGGCACCGCAAGGUGACAGUUGUUAAAGCUUUAGUGCCUGGAGAGAAGCCUGCGGCAGAUUAGCUAGUUGGUAAGGAUGGCUUACCAAGGCGACGAUCUGUAUCCGGUCUUAGAGGACGGUCGGACACACUGACACUGAAUAACGGGUCAGACUCCUACGGGAGGC
RNAcentral lists this ribosomal RNA (324 nucleotides) under uncultured bacterium. Its description in RNAcentral is "bacterial SSU rRNA". It matches the Rfam family "Bacterial small subunit ribosomal RNA", at positions 32 to 349 of the family's 1533-position model. The record is from RNAcentral.